This 961-nucleotide ribosomal RNA is filed under the name uncultured bacterium. RNAcentral describes it as "bacterial SSU rRNA". It matches the Rfam family "Bacterial small subunit ribosomal RNA", at positions 42 to 984 of the family's 1533-position model. The record is from RNAcentral.
GGGUGCUAGAAUGCAGUCGACGCGAAAGUCCCCUUCGGGGGACAAGUAGAGUGGCGCACGGGUGAGUAACACGUAGGUAAUCUACCUUUGGAUGGGGAAUAACAACCGGAAACGGUUGCUAAUACCGCAUAAUGCAGCGGCACCUAAUGGUGACAGUUGUUAAAGCGGGGGAUCGCAAGACCUCGCGUCUAAAGAGGAGCCUGCGGCGGAUUAGCUAGUUGGUAAGGUAAUGGCUUACCAAGGCUACGAUCCGUAACCGGCCUGAGAGGGCGGUCGGUCACACUGACACUGACAUACGGGUCAGACUCCUACGGGAGGCAGCAGUCGGGAAUUUUGGGCAAUGGGCGAAAGCCUGACCCAGCAACGCCGCGUGAAGGAUGAAAUCCCUCGGGAUGUAAACUUCGCAAGAACGGGAAGAAUAAGUAGGGGACAAUACCCCCUAUGAUGACGGUACCGUUUGUAAGCUCCGGCUAACUCCGUGCCAGCAGCCGCGGUAAUACGGGGGGAGCAAGCGUUGUUCGGAUUUACUGGGCGUAAAGGGCGCGUAGGCGGUCAGCACAAGUCAGUUGUGAAAUCUCCGAGCUUAACUCGGAAAGGUCAACUGAUACUGUGCGACUAGAGUGCGGAAGGGGCAACUGGAAUUCUCGGUGUAGCGGUGAAAUGCGUAGAUAUCGAGAGGAACACCUGCGGCGAAGGCGGGUUGCUGGGCCGACACUGACGCUGAGGCGCGAAAGCUAGGGGAGCGAACGGGAUUAGAUACCCCGGUAGUCCUAGCCUUAAACGAUGAAUGCUUGGUGUCUGGGGUUAUAUAGUCCCCGGGUGCCGUCGCUAACGCUUUAAGCAUUCCGCCUGGGGAGUACGGUCGCAAGACUGAAACUCAAAGGAAUUGACGGGGACCCGCACAAGCGGUGGAGCAUGUGGUUUAAUUCGACGCAACGCGAAGAACCUUACCUGGGCUAGA